GGGGGCAUAGCUCAGUUGGUAGAGUACCUGCCUUGCACGCAGGGUGUCGAGGGUUCGAAUCCCUCUGCUUCCACCA
This 76-nucleotide transfer RNA is filed under the name Rickettsia sp. RNAcentral's name for it is "tRNA-Ala". It matches the Rfam family "tRNA". Rfam says of the family: Transfer RNA (tRNA) molecules are approximately 80 nucleotides in length. Their secondary structure includes four short double-helical elements and three loops (D, anti-codon, and T loops). The record is from RNAcentral. Lineage: Bacteria; Pseudomonadati; Pseudomonadota; Alphaproteobacteria; Rickettsiales; Rickettsiaceae.